RNAcentral lists this ribosomal RNA (253 nucleotides) under uncultured bacterium. RNAcentral describes it as "partial 16S ribosomal RNA". It matches the Rfam family "Bacterial small subunit ribosomal RNA", at positions 524 to 776 of the family's 1533-position model. The record is from RNAcentral.
UACGAGGGGGGCAAAUGUUGUUCGGAAUCACUGGGCGUAAAGGGCGCGUAGGCGGGUGUUUAAGUUAGGUGUUUAAUCCUGGGGCCCAACCCCAGUCGUGCACCUAAAACUGGACAUCUUGAAUAGUGGAGAGGUCAGUGGAAUUGGGGGUGUAGCGGUGGAAUGCGUAGAGAUCCCCAAGAACACCAGUUGCGAAGGCGGCUGACUGGACACAUGUUGACGCUGAGGCUCGAAAGCAUGGGGAGCAAACAGG